Molecule: ribosomal RNA, 463 nt
Filed under: uncultured delta proteobacterium
Lineage: Bacteria; Deltaproteobacteria
Description: bacterial SSU rRNA
Rfam family: Bacterial small subunit ribosomal RNA
Source: RNAcentral
CCCGCACAAGCGGUGGAGCAUGUGGUUUAAUUCGACGCAACGCGAAGAACCUUACCAGGGCUUGACAUCCCCUGACCGCGUAUGAAAGUACGUUUUCACCCUCGGGUGACAGGGAGACAGGUGGUGCAUGGUUGUCGUCAGCUCGUGUCGUGAGAUGUUGGGUUAAGUCCCGCAACGAGCGCAACCCUUAUCUUUAAUUGCCAGCAUUCAGUUGGGCACUUUAAAGAGACUGCCGGUGUUAAACCGGAGGAAGGUGGGGAUGACGUCAAGUCCUCAUGGCCUUUAUGUCCAGGGCUACACACGUGCUACAAUGGGCGGUACAAAGGGUUGCAAUACCGUAAGGUGGAGCUAAUCCCAAAAAGCCGCUCUCAGUUCAGAUUAGAGUCUGCAACUCGACUUUAUGAAGGCGGAAUCGCUAGUAAUCGCGGAUCAGCAUGCCGCGGUGAAUACGUUCCCGGGCCUU